Non-coding RNA from Myotis brandtii (Brandt's bat), 75 nucleotides. Lineage: Eukaryota; Metazoa; Chordata; Mammalia; Chiroptera; Vespertilionidae. The record is from Rfam.
GGCGAUUCUCAGGUGACGUACCCCAGAAUCGAGCUCCCUCUUCUCUGGUUCCGGGUGCGUCACCCGAGAACUGCA